This 440-nucleotide ribosomal RNA is filed under the name uncultured bacterium. Its description in RNAcentral is "partial 16S ribosomal RNA". It matches the Rfam family "Bacterial small subunit ribosomal RNA", at positions 338 to 795 of the family's 1533-position model. The record is from RNAcentral.
CCUACGGGCGGCUGCAGUGGGGGAUAUUGCACAAUGGGGGGAACCCUGAUGCAGCGACGCCGCGUGAGCGAAGAAGUACCUCGGUAUGUAAAGCUCUAUCAGCAGGGAAGAAAAUGACGGUACCUGACUAAGACGCCCCGGCUAAAUACGUGCCAGCAGCCGCGGUAAUACGUAGGGGGCAAGCGUUAUCCGGAUUUACUGGGUGGAAAGGGAGCGCAGGCGGCCUGCCAAGUCUGGUGUGAAAACCCGGGGCGCAACCCCGGGCGUGCAUUUGAAACUAGCGGGCUGGAGGGUCGGAGGGGCAGGCGGAAUUCCGGGUGUAGCGGUGAAAUGCGUAGAUAUUAGGAGGAACACCGGUGGCGAAGGCGGCCUGCUGGACGAUGACUGACGCUGAGGCUCGAAAGCGUGGGGAGCAAACAGGAUUAGAUACCCCUGUAGUC